GUUUUGCGGUUCGAUGCAUAAAUUUCAUGUUUUUUGAAUUUGUAUUGCAUGCUGAAUUAAAUGAACACUCGAGUGAAAAGUUAUGAUCGUUAAAGAUUUUCUUACGUCGAUCACAAAAUUUACCGUUUUCAACGAGAUUUUUGACCCAGCUUAGCUAAUUCAUGCUUUCUAGUUAAAAUUAGGUCCCAAACUCAGCUAGAACUGCUUUACAAUUCAGCGCAUAGAUCUAGUAUUUUUGGAAUCGAAAUUGUAUGUUGAAAAUGGACACCCUAACGAAAAGUUAUGAUCAUUUAAAAAU
Molecule: long non-coding RNA, 298 nt
Filed under: Ananas comosus (pineapple)
Lineage: Eukaryota; Viridiplantae; Streptophyta; Magnoliopsida; Poales; Bromeliaceae
Description: long non-coding RNA (ACOM_LNC025396)
Source: RNAcentral